Molecule: ribosomal RNA, 376 nt
Filed under: uncultured bacterium
Lineage: Bacteria
Description: bacterial SSU rRNA
Rfam family: Bacterial small subunit ribosomal RNA
Source: RNAcentral
UAAGACGAACCGUGCAAACGUUGUUCGGAAUCACUGGGCUUAAAGGGCGCGUAGGCGGGUCAUCAAGUCGGGGGUGAAAUCUUUCAGCUCAACUGGAAAAGAGCUUCCGAUACUGGUGGUCUCGAGGGAGGUAGGGGUCGAUGGAACUUCCGGUGGAGCGGUGAAAUGCGUAGAUAUCGGAAGGAACGCCGGUGGCGAAAGCGAUCGACUGGACCUUUUCUGACGCUGAGGCGCGAAAGCCAGGGGAGCAAACGGGAUUAGAUACCCCGGUAGUCCUGGCCCUAAACGAUGGGUACCAGAUUGUGGACUGGACAUGGGUUCACAGUCGAGGCCAAAGUGCUAAGUACCCCGCCUGGGGAGUAUGGUCGCAAGGCUG